This 274-nucleotide ribosomal RNA is filed under the name uncultured bacterium. RNAcentral describes it as "partial 16S ribosomal RNA". It matches the Rfam family "Bacterial small subunit ribosomal RNA", at positions 523 to 796 of the family's 1533-position model. The record is from RNAcentral.
CUACGGAGGGGGCUAGCGUUGUUCGGAAUUACUGGGCGUAAAGCGCGCGUAGGCGGAUUGAUCAGUCAGGGGUGAAAUCCCGGAGCUUAACUCCGGAACUGCCUUUGAUACUGUCAAUCUUGAGUUCGAGAGAGGUGAGUGGAAUUCCUAGUGUAGAGGUGAAAUUCGUAGAUAUUAGGAAGAACACCAGUGGCGAAGGCGGCUCACUGGCUCGAUGCUGACGCUGAGGUGCGAAAGCGUGGGGAGCAAACAGGAUUAGAAACCCUAGUAGUCC